CAUGUUUUACUAACUAUAAAUUUCUUUAGAACCAGAUAUUCAUACUAAACAUAAUUGUGACAAUGGACUGAUCAAUGACGGAUUUAUGAUACGAAAUGCUGAUGGUUCACUAUCGUGUAUCAAUGGUUGGAAAAAUAAAGCUCUAAAAGACGAUAAUUACAGUGUCUAUGGAAAACUGCUCGUAAAAGCUUAUACUAACGGUAAUUAAUAGACUAGUUAAUUUACUUACAUUAAUCUGACAAUUAAUAUAAUAUUUUAUAGUUCAUUCAAAUACGUAUUAAUUAUACCAAUAAUUAGUUGUAUAAUAAGGGGGGAGUUACCUAGGUUGGGCCACUUUUGACAUUUAGGAGUAUUCCAGUUAUUUAAAAUUAUAAUUAUUUAACUGCACUUAAAGGUAUCUAAGCAUGUGAACAAAAGUUUGAUAGUUAUUUUCUUUGUCAAUGGUAGAAUGAUUACAAAUUGAUCCAACUUAGGCAACUGGUUAUAUUAUUUGACCCAAUUAUAUUUUUUUAUUCAACCCCCCACAUUAUAAAACCCCAAACAUGAACAUAAGUCAAUAUAUUAUAUUAACCAAGUUUUGAACGGUUCAUUGCGGGCGCACACGAAUUGCAUACCAAAACAGGUAAACGAACCUUUUUGAACGAAUUAUAUCCCAGACGCACUUCAUGUUAUUUUCACUAACACAUUUUUUUUAGCGAUUCCCAAUGCUUAAUAAAAAUAAUAAUAAUUAAUUAAAAAUGUAUCAAUAACAUAAUAUUAUUACCUAUAUGAAAACCGGUUUUUAGUGGUUAUUUAUUUUCAAUAAAAAUACUACGGACUUCCCAAUCGGUAUGAGUAUGGAUUAAAGGCGAGGCACUGUAUAAGAAAACCUAGUUUAGUAUAGUAUAAUACUAUAAUAAAUUAGUGAUUAGUUAUUGCUUAUCUAACACAAUAUAAAUAUAAAAUAUUCCGUUUUAUUUAUUGUUUCUUGUAAUCACAGUGACACAUGUACGAAUGUACGAUGUUCAAGUUUUAAAUAUAAUGGGCAUUUAAAACAAUUCAAUCUUAUUUAAAAAAAAAAAUUCCCCCCCUCCCCCUGGCUACGGACUUGUAUAUUAUGGAAAUAUCACAUUAGAAACUAUAAUAAUUAACUGUAGGUGAAAAAGUAACAUGAAUUGUUCGUUUAUCUGACAUAAUGAUACAUAAUUCGUGUGCACCGGCGUAUGCUAGGGUUAUACCAGCGUAGUAUGCAGUGUACGGAUCAUUCUAGGUUUUUACAAUUUUUGGAAAAUAUAUGAAUUUUUUUGAACCAUGACUCUUUUUUGAUUUUUAAGCUUGUAUGAUUAGUACAUUGUACAUAUAUGUCCAAAUGUGUAUAUUUCAUAAACGUUCAACAUUCUUAAGAAACAAAUUUGAGUGUAACGAUACAUGUUGGUAGAGAGCGAUCGUUCCAGAAAACACAUUUCUGUGGUGUGUCAAUAGUAUCGGGCUGAGACUUACUGUGAAUAGCUAUACAUUUUAAAAAGGUUUAUGUUUUAAAUUGAUGUAUUUAUUUUUUAUUAAAAAUAAAAAACAUAAAGAAUUCAUAAACUACACGGCUUAAAGUAAAAACCUUAGAGAACUGCAACGCAGCCACUUCAUCGUGCUAAUAAUUACCAGACGUAUUUUUUAAGUGGACGACCGUAUGAGUUUGGUCUCCUUCUAAUUUUAGUCUUCAUGUUAAUAAUAAUAAUAAUAUGAUAUAUAACUCCAAAGACGUUAUACAACGGUAUUAAACAUAUGUAUAAAUUUUUUUAUUAUAAUUCAUGUUUAACAAUUGGGUAUAAUUGAGGUGGUCCAAUUUAGGUGCCUAACAAAUAUUAGCCUCUCCCCUAACUAAAAAAAAAGAGUUAAUUUAAUUAAAACUGAUUUAUUUUUAUUUUUUAGCUCAGGCGAUUCCUCCUAAUUUUUUUUGU
Acyrthosiphon pisum (pea aphid) is the source of this 1934-nucleotide long non-coding RNA. RefSeq lists it as uncharacterized. The transcript has 5 exons. The record is from RefSeq and is a predicted model, not a curated record. Lineage: Eukaryota; Metazoa; Arthropoda; Insecta; Hemiptera; Aphididae.